GACAGAGGGUGCGAACGUUGUUCGGAAUUACUGGGCGUAAAGCGCGUGUAGGCGGCAAUGCAAGUCGGGCGUGAAAUCCCACGGCUCAACCGUGGAAGUGCACUCGAAACUGCAUAGCUAGAGUCCUGGAGAGGAAGGUGGAAUGCUUGGUGUAGAGGUGAAAUUCGUAGAUAUCAAGCGGAACACCGGUGGCGAAGGCGGCCUUCUGGACAGUGACUGACGCUGAGACGCGAAAGCGUGGGGAGCAAACAGG
Molecule: ribosomal RNA, 253 nt
Filed under: uncultured bacterium
Lineage: Bacteria
Description: partial 16S ribosomal RNA
Rfam family: Bacterial small subunit ribosomal RNA
Source: RNAcentral